RNAcentral lists this ribosomal RNA (463 nucleotides) under uncultured bacterium. RNAcentral describes it as "partial 16S ribosomal RNA". It matches the Rfam family "Bacterial small subunit ribosomal RNA", at positions 28 to 507 of the family's 1533-position model. The record is from RNAcentral.
GAUGAACGCUGACAGAAUGCUUAACGCAUGCAAGUCUUUGGCGAAGCUGUGCUUGCACAGCCUAGCCAAGGCGGACGGGUGAGUAACGCGUAAGGAACUUGCCCUGCAGUCAGGGAUAACAGACGGAAACGACUGAUAAGACCUGGUAAAGUCAGGCGGACUCAUGUCCAGCCUGAUGAAAAGAGAUGCUGCAGGAGAGCCUUGCGUCCUAUUAGCUUGUUGGUGGGGUAACGGCCCACCAAGGCGAUGAUAGGUAGCCGGCCUGAGAGGGUGGACGGCCACAAGGGGACUGAGAUACGGCCCUUACUCCUACGGGAGGCAGCAGUGGGGAAUAUUGGACAAGGGGGGCAACCCUGAUCCAGCAAUUCUGUGUGCACGAUGAAGGUUUUCGGAUUGUAAAGUGCUUUCAGCAGGGAAGAAAAAAAUGACGGUACCUGCAGAAGAAGCGACGGCUAAAUACGUG